UCUUUCUCAACUCUACACAAAGUGACUUCUGACGAAGAAAGCGAUGGAUUGCUGAAGAUUUCUGCCUGAUGUGAAGAACUGGACUCUGGGUGAGAUCGCCUGUGCUGUACGGUUGGUCAUGCUCUCUGCCAGUGUGGAUUCCUGCGUUUACCGCCACUUGCAGAGAGUGCAGAGAGCAGAGAGCACUUUCCUCCUGACCACACUCAGCCUCCAUAAGGAUGUGCAGCUGACUUAUGGGUCUCUGAUUUGAUUCGUGAGAAGUCCUUCUAAUCAGGAAUCAAAUGUAACAGAGCUCUUCACGGCCCAGCUCCACCAUUACAACUUCCUGGAUGUGUUUUAUUAGCUGCUUCACUUCGGAUACUUCACAAAUGACUCAGCUCCUGAGGCAGGAGGAUUCUUGGAGAGCCUGUUUGGGUUCAUCAGCAUGUGGGAUGUGGACAUGUGGGAGCCUGCAGCACAGCUGUACUUCACAGUGCUUAUUAUUGUCAAUAGGAUAAGCUUUGUCAACAGCGACCCAGCAGCCUUAGCAAGUGCAGUUUCGUGGCUCCUCUGGCAACAUGUCCAGCGGAUGAUGGACACUUUGGAGAAGCUCUCAGCAAUGUCAUUCCCUCUACCCACCCCUCUGCCACCCCCAACCCCCCUUCCUCUUCAUGCUUUUAUCUCUUUUAAUUUACAAUUUAAUAUUGUGGGAUGCUCGCUAGAUCCUGCUAUCUCUAGUAACUUUAAUAAGGCAAAAAAAAAAAAAAAAAACCAGCUUGUCAUGUUACUAUAAAAACAAAACAAAGCACUAAGUCCUCUGUACUGCGGCAGAAAACGUAUUGACCCUUACAAAGCUCUGACACCCGAAACUCAUUCCACAGAUAUAUUUUAAAAAUCCACUUACAGAAAAUGUCACCAUAUCAGCAAUUACUCAAUAUGUUUUUUCUUUAUUAAAUAACAGCAUUUUUGUAAACCUGUUCAUAAUUUCGCUUAGAUUAUGUGGAGCAUUUGUGCCCCAAGCCCCUGUAAAAGAGUUGCUACUAAAGAAAUUCAUAUAGAACAUAGAGAGAGAACAUACAGAUAACCUGAUUGCAACUUUAGCACAUUAAUGCUAUAAUUAAACCCCCAAAAUUCAUCUUUUCUUCCUCUGUUGCAUUUCAUAUUCGUUCUUUUCCAUGACUACUUUUCCCUACAUUGCUCAAGCUGUGCAUGAGUAAGUAUACAUCAAGUUUGUUGUUUUCAGUUAACUUAGUAUUUAAAAAAAAAAUCUUUUUUCUUCAUUUACAUGUCUGUAUAGAGAGCCCAGGACUGAAGGACCAGUGUAACAUCAUUCCUCAUCCCCAAUACUCACCCCUUUAUACUCUAUCCUUCAGUACUUUAUCCCUCUCCCCAUCACUCUAUUCCUUUCAGUAGCCUAAAGAGUCUAUAUAGAUGACAGCUGUAAAUAGAAUUAUUUGUAAAUAGUUGUUACAUAGUGCUUAUAUAGUUUGCUUUAGUAAAGGUUUGCAUUUACUCCUAUUGCAGAACUAAAUUAAUUUCUCAUUCAUAUACAAAUCCAUUUAAAGAAUUUCUGAAACUCUGAAAAAUGACAAAUAAACAAAAUUUUGAUAUUUAUAGCCGUGCAAAAUUUGUUGAUGGCACCAAAUUGUGUAAAAUUGUAAAUAUAAAAAUAAAAAAUAUUUAAUAUACUGUGUAAGAAAUCUUCAGAUUAUAGUCAGAAAAUCUCAUUGUUGAGGAACAAAAUUUUGGGAGAUUUUACCAUUUUACUGUAGUACACCGUUUAUAUUAGGCCAUCACUCUGAACUCUCAAGGUCAUGUUCUAAGACUGAGUGGUUGUGAUAUAACAGUCAUGGGUGUAAUGCUUGCAAAGGUAGAAUAUUUACUCUAUCAUCCGUAUUCUUUUCCCAAAAGAAACACAGAAAAGCAAACUGUGGCUAAUUAAAGUACAAAUUAAACAAAAUAACUGAAUUGUAUGUUUAGUGUUUUUUUGGUGUUUUUUUUUUUUUUUUUGCUGUUGUUUGAACAAAAAAGUUACAACUUUUACAACGGCUACAAUCUUUGGAGGAAACACAGCAUGAAAAUGACUUGAAACACUUAAUAAAAAUCACAAAUGCAGAUGCCUGAUCUGUCUGCCUGAUAGUUUGCCCUACAUCCUUCUUAUUAUGCCAUAGAGGAGACCUUGCUCAAUAGUCCUCAACCCUAAUAGUUUCACUGUCAAGCUGUAGCUAUUCAGUUUUGCGCUCCUAUUUAAAUAUCUAAUAUCACAGCAGAUACUGGGAAAUACAUUUGUGAUAUUGAGAAUGUGUUAGAGUGAGCUAAAGCCACUAGAUUACCCAAUUUACAUUACAUCUGCAUUUAUUAAUUUAGAAAGCACAUUUUAUCCAAAGUGACAUACAGAAUCUUGUCUGCUUUAAAGAGCUAAUGCAUAAUAUGCCCCAUUUCUGUCUUUGAAUGUAAAACACCAUAGACCAAAACCUCGGUGUGUGAUCAUGCGUGGUAAUGUGCUGUCUUGCUUUCCUUCAUGCAUAAUCAUUCCUUGUAAUUGUCUAGGAGGAGCCACAUUAUGGGCCAGGUGAUGGCGUGAUUGAUUGCUCGUGGAGUGUGCCUCGUUCGACAGAAUACAGCAGCUAUAUGUUUUUGUGUGUAUAUAGUAUAUAAGAGAUAGUCAAUCGCUUCUACAAAACACUUUUCAUAAAUCUCAGUUAUCCAUCCAUCCAUCCAUCUUCUAUACCGCUUAUCCUUUUCAGGGUCACGGGGAACCUGGAGCGUAUCCCAGGGAGCAUCGGGCACAAGGCGGGGUACACCCUGGACAGGGUGCCAAUCCAUCGCAGGGCACAAUCACAUACACACUCACAUACCCAUUCAUACACUACGGACACUUUGGACAUGCCAAUCAGCCUACCAUGCAUGUCUUUGGACUGGGGGAGGAAACCGGAGCACCCGGAGGAAACCCCCGCAGCACGGGGAGAACAUGCAAACUCCGCACACACAGCACAUAAAUCUUGGUUAUAUUACACAGAUUUUACUAUGCAAAUUUGGACCUUCUUAUGGUCCACAUACAGGAGAUCUGAAUGUGUACGUACAGUGUAAUGAAGGGAGAAAAGAAGAAUGAAGGAAAUUGAAUGUUUGGCUCUAAUCUUCUAUGCGUUUACGAGUUUUUGCUCAAUGAGGCAUUAAUAAUGCACUAGUGAGAUUUGAGCUUGCUUGAAUGUGGUUAUACCUCUGAGAUGGUGUGUGUGGGUGUGUGUGUGAGGCUGUAAGGAGGCUGCUUUAUUGUCACAGUGCUCAGAGACCUCAAGGCACUGAGGGGUGAUAGGCAUUCCCACUGCGCAAGACCAAAGGAACUAACAAGACUCUAUUUCACCUGUAUAGCACCUUCUAUUUUAUUUCCUAUUAUAUGUAUAAUUUGCAUUAGUUUAGUAUUUGUUGUUUUGUAUAUUUUGUGCUUUUAACAUGUGUUCGUUUUGUGUUCAUAGACACACCUCAAGCAUCUUGAUGUACGAAUGUCUUUGACAUAAUAUGCACAUGAUAAAUAAAAGAUUUUG
Ictalurus punctatus (channel catfish) is the source of this 3524-nucleotide long non-coding RNA. RefSeq lists it as uncharacterized. The transcript is spliced from 5 exons. The record is from RefSeq and is a predicted model, not a curated record. NCBI's taxonomy places the organism in Eukaryota, Metazoa, Chordata, Actinopteri, Siluriformes, Ictaluridae.